UUGAAUGGUAAUACGGUACAA
RNAcentral lists this small nuclear RNA (21 nucleotides) under Arabidopsis thaliana (thale cress). Its description in RNAcentral is "snRNA_05914". Lineage: Eukaryota; Viridiplantae; Streptophyta; Magnoliopsida; Brassicales; Brassicaceae. The record is from RNAcentral.